GGGUCUGUAGCUCAGCUGGUUAGAGCACACGCUUGAUAAGCGUGGGGUCGUUGGUUCAAGUCCAACCAGACCCACCA
This 77-nucleotide transfer RNA is filed under the name Betaproteobacteria bacterium. RNAcentral describes it as "tRNA-Ile". It matches the Rfam family "tRNA". From Rfam's summary of the family: Transfer RNA (tRNA) molecules are approximately 80 nucleotides in length. Their secondary structure includes four short double-helical elements and three loops (D, anti-codon, and T loops). Lineage: Bacteria; Pseudomonadati; Pseudomonadota; Betaproteobacteria. The record is from RNAcentral.